CAAACGGUUCUUUUAAGAACCAUACAAGGUUUUUAAUUCUGGUUUA
This is a non-coding RNA of Salmo salar (Atlantic salmon), 46 nucleotides long. The record is from Rfam. NCBI's taxonomy places the organism in Eukaryota, Metazoa, Chordata, Actinopteri, Salmoniformes, Salmonidae.